UACGUAGGGGGCAAGCGUUGUCCGGAUUUAUUGGGCGUAAAGCGCGUGUAGGCGGCCUGGAAGGUCCGUUGUGAAAACUCGAGGCUCAACCUCGAGACGUCGAUGGAAACCCCCAGGCUAGAGUCCGGAAGAGGAGAGUGGAAUUCCCGGUGUAGCGGUGAAAUGCGCAGAUAUCGGGAAGAACACCAGUGGCGAAGGCGGCGAUCUGGGCAGAUACUGACGCUGAGGUGCGAAAGCGUGGGGAGCAAACAGG
This 253-nucleotide ribosomal RNA is filed under the name uncultured prokaryote. Its description in RNAcentral is "partial 16S ribosomal RNA". It matches the Rfam family "Bacterial small subunit ribosomal RNA", at positions 524 to 776 of the family's 1533-position model. The record is from RNAcentral.